This 104-nucleotide small nuclear RNA is filed under the name Catagonus wagneri (Chacoan peccary). The record is from RNAcentral. Lineage: Eukaryota; Metazoa; Chordata; Mammalia; Artiodactyla; Tayassuidae.
GUGCCCACUUUAGUAGCACUUAUACUGAAACUGGUAAAAUGCAGAGAUUAGCAUGGCCGCUGAAUAAGAAUGACACACAAAUUUGUGAAGCAUUCCAUAUCUUG